GACGAACGCUGGCGGCGUGCCUAAUACAUGCAAGUUGAGCGAUGAAGAUUGGUGCUUGCACCAAUUUGAAGAGCAGCGAACGGGUGAGUAACGCGUGGGGAAUCUGCCUUUGAGCGGGGGACAACAUUUGGAAACGAAUGCUAAUACCGCAUGACAACUUUAAACAUAAGUUUUAAGUUUGAAAGAUGCAAUUGCAUCACUCAAAGAUGAUCCCGCGUUGUAUUAGCUAGUUGGUGAGGUAAAGGCUCACCAAGGCGAUGAUACAUAGCCGACCUGAGAGGGUGAUCGGCCACAUUGGGACUGAGACACGGCCCAAAAUACUACGGGAGGCAGCAGUAGGGAAUCUUCGGCAAUGGACGAAAGUCUGACCGAGCAACGCCGCGUGAGUGAAGAAGGUUUUCGGAUCGUAAAACUCUGUUGGUAGAGAAGAACGUUGGUGAGAGUGGAAAGCUCAUAAAGUGACGGUAACUACCCAGAAAGGGACGGCUAACUACGUG
RNAcentral lists this ribosomal RNA (497 nucleotides) under uncultured bacterium. RNAcentral's name for it is "partial 16S ribosomal RNA". It matches the Rfam family "Bacterial small subunit ribosomal RNA", at positions 28 to 507 of the family's 1533-position model. The record is from RNAcentral.